UGCAAAAAAUCUAUUUAUGCUAAUCAAAAGGAUCCUGGUUAAUAUGGCUAAGAAUAGGUGACAAAGGAAGAAACUGCGCAGAAGAAUUUUGUAUCACCAGCCAAAUUAAUAUUAAGCUGAUUUACAUAAAUGAGUAAAAAAUGGUGCGUCCGAGUGGACUCGAACCACCGACCCCCACCA
RNAcentral lists this antisense RNA (180 nucleotides) under Candidatus Regiella insecticola 5.15. Its description in RNAcentral is "Candidatus Regiella insecticola R5.15 Bacterial antisense RNA HPnc0260". It matches the Rfam family "Bacterial antisense RNA HPnc0260". Lineage: Bacteria; Pseudomonadati; Pseudomonadota; Gammaproteobacteria; Enterobacterales; Enterobacteriaceae. The record is from Rfam by way of RNAcentral.